CGGCGCUCGCGCUCCACUGCUUUCUCGGCCGUAAUUUCAGUCUGACCAGCCUUGGCCACGCGGCCUGGAAAAUACCGCUGCUGCCUCGACCACCUGUUCCCGAGAACUGCUGCUGCCGCCGUCUAUGUGGCCACGCAGGCAAAGACACAGAGACUGACAGCAGCACCCAGCAGAGCAGUUCUAGCAGUGAGGAGAAAGUGAUGGAGGAGGACAUGGAGGAGGGUGUCUCAGGAGGAUGAGAAACCAGACCUUCAGGACACUCUUGGGUGAUGAUGUACCUCUAGACAAGGUGGGGACCUCUGCUGCGUUUGCCAAGCCCCACCUAAAAACGAUUUUCUGCUUGGCUUUAUCAAACCAUGUGUAAGGGCAACACUUCUAAAGAUGUGACGCACACAAGGACAGCGUCAGUGAUGGCCCGCUCAUGCCACUGAGACCAGCCAUCCACACUUCUUCGUCCACAACUGAGCAGCGUGGGAAAGAUGCCUGCGAGGCACUGCUGCGCUUGUUUGAAGCUGGCGUGGAUCUACAACGUGGAGUAGCUUUGAUUCCUCCUACAUUUGGAGUUCCAGACACCAGUACUGCUGCAGCAGUACACCUCAGGACAGCGGCCACGGCUGUGGGCAUCACAUACAUCCUGAUCCUCGUGGGCGUUGUGCAGUAUGCACACCAAGUGGGUUAUAGCUCUUUUAGAGAUGCUGAAGAUCCCCAAUGGCACUAUGAAGAUUGGAUGAUGUCUUGGCUGGAGGAGAUGGAACGGAGGAGCCAGGAGCCAGACAAACAUGAAGGCAUGCUCCUCACUGCCUCCCACAUCUUGUGGUUUUGGUGUUUGCCAAAGUCCUGAUCAUUCUUCUGCUCUAUGGGUUCCACGGGCACCACAGGCAGAGAAACAGAAGCUGACAACAGUUUCAACCACCACGAGAGCAACCACAAAGAUGCUAAUAAAUUACCUUGUUUGACCAAAGACUCUGGAGCCCAACUAUGUUUCUUUAUUUGCCUUGAACGUUUUUUCUGAAGACUGUCCUUUUGGGUGCUUUGUGGGGCCAGCCUGUCUGUGGUGCCGGGCUACAUGAAGGGCUAGUGCAGGAGUGGGUAGCGCAGGAGUGGACAGUACCCUCCCGGCUUGGCUGAGCUCCAGCCCCAGAGGUGGCUGCCACAGCAGGAGGUGCUGCAGUAGCCAGCGAUGCCCGGACUGACACCCCCCGCCGGACUGCCUGAGCCAGACCCUUCUGAAAAGACACGUGGCAAAGACCCCCCAACACGUGCUGAUGGGGGCGGGGGGCUGGACGGCCCUUAUGAAAAGAAUUCGCAUGGAGGCAGGCAGCACUCGCGCUACACUGCUCUCUCGCUGUCUCUCUCACGACCAUCACUUCAAUCAGACCGGCCGGGACCACGCGGCCUGAAAAAAGCCGCUGCUGCUGUCUAUGUGUUGAGUUCUUUCCUUUCCUUUUUCUCUCUUCUUCCCUGCCUCCCUCCUGUUCCCUUACAGUGUGCGUGCCGGACUGCAUCUGAGUGACCUGGAUUGUUUUCAGGAAUCACAUUGUGAUCCAAACAGGCUAUGGCUGUGGAUAUCACCCACAUCCUGAUCCUCUUGGGCGUCGUGCAGCGUGCACUGGGAGCAGGCUAUAGCUCUUUCAGAGAUGUUGAAGACCCCCAAUGGCACUAUAGAGAUUGGACUAUGUCUUGGCUGGAGGAGGUGGAACUGACGAGCCAGGAGCCAGACGAACAUGAAGGCAUGCUCCUUACUGUCUCCCGUAUUAUUUGGGUCUUUGUGCUUUCUGAAAUCCUAGUCAUGCCUGUGCUCUAUGCAUUCUACAGGCCACACACGCAGAGACACAGAGACUAACAGCAGCAGCCUGUAGGGGAGCUGGAACAGUGAGGAGGAGGCUAUGGAGGAGUGUGUCUCAGGAGGAUGAUUAAUCAGACAUUUAUGAUACUUUGGGUCAUGAUGUACCUCUGCAUAAGCUGCAUUUGCCAAGAUCCACACAAGCACAACUUCCUGCUUGGCUGCAUCAAGCCAUGUGGAAAAGCAAUGCCUCUAAAGAUGUGAAGGCACACAAGGACCGUGACAGUGAUGGCUGACUGAGUAGCAUGGGAAAGAUGCCUGCGAGGCACUGCUGUGUCUGUUUGAAGCGGGUGUGGAUUUUCAACAUGCAGUAGCUUUGAUACGUAGGACAUAGAGGAUAGUCCUGGUAGACGUUAUAAGGUAGACAGAUGUUUUUUGCCUAGCUUAGAUUGUUCAGUAAAAGUAGUUCUGCAUGAUGCAAGGCCUGCAGUCCAGCUCACUUUCCAGGCAUUGAGCAGGAAGGCACGGAAGUUGCGGCUGCAAGGAGCCUUGCACAAGAGGCCUCUGUUAACACCACGAGAGGGACCACAAAGAUGCCAAUAAAUUACUUUGUUUGAAUAAAACACUGUCUAUGUAUGCCUCAGGAAGACUUUCUCAAGGAAUGCGGGGCCUGAGAUGCUUUCAGGUUCUGCUGUCAAUCAG
This is a long non-coding RNA of Cuculus canorus (common cuckoo), 2485 nucleotides long. RefSeq lists it as uncharacterized. Lineage: Eukaryota; Metazoa; Chordata; Aves; Cuculiformes; Cuculidae. The record is from RefSeq and is a predicted model, not a curated record. The transcript has 4 exons.